AACGAACGCUGGCGGCAUGCCUAACACAUGCAAGUCGAACGAGACCUUCGGGUCUAGUGGCGCACGGGUGCGUAACGCGUGGGAACCUGCCCUUAGGUUCGGAAUAACUCCCCGAAAGGGGUGCUAAUACCGGAUCAUGUCUUCGGACCAAAGAUUUAUCGCCUUUGGAUGGGCCCGCGUUGGAUUAGCUAGUUGGUAGGGUAAAAGCCUACCAAGGCGACGAUCCAUAGCUGGUCUGAGAGGAUGAUCAGCCACACUGGGACUGAGACACGGCCCAGACUCCUACGGGAGGCAGCAGUGGGGAAUAUUGGACAAUGGGCGAAGGCCUGAUCCAGCAAUGACGCGUGAGUGAUGAAGGCCUUAGGGUUGUAAAGCUCUUUUACCCGGGAUGAUAAUGACAGUACCGGGAGAAUAAGCUCCGGCUAACUCCGUG
This 433-nucleotide ribosomal RNA is filed under the name uncultured bacterium. RNAcentral's name for it is "partial 16S ribosomal RNA". It matches the Rfam family "Bacterial small subunit ribosomal RNA", at positions 29 to 507 of the family's 1533-position model. The record is from RNAcentral.